AGUGAACGCUGGCGGUAGGCCUAACACAUGCAAGUCGAACGGCAGCACAGUAAGAGCUUGCUCUUACGGGUGGCGAGUGGCGGACGGGUGAGGAAUACAUCGGAAUCUACUUUUUCGUGGGGGAUAACGUAGGGAAACUUACGCUAAUACCGCAUACGACCUACGGGUGAAAGCAGGGGAUCUUCGGACCUUGCGCGAUUGAAUGAGCCGAUGUCGGAUUAGCUAGUUGGCGGGGUAAAGGCCCACCUAGGCGACGAUCCGUAGCUGGUCUGAGAGGAUGAUCAGCCACACUGGAGCGGGAACACGGUCCAGACUCCUGCGGGAGGCAGCAGUGGGGAAUAUUGGACAAUGGGCGCAAGCCUGGUCCAGCCAUACCGCGUGGGUGAAGAAGGCCUUCGGGUUGUAAAGCCCUUUUGUUGGGAAAGAAAAGCAGCAGGUUAAUACCCCGCGGUUCUGACGGUACCCAAAGAAUAAGCACCGGCUAACUUCGUG
RNAcentral lists this ribosomal RNA (492 nucleotides) under uncultured bacterium. RNAcentral describes it as "partial 16S ribosomal RNA". It matches the Rfam family "Bacterial small subunit ribosomal RNA", at positions 29 to 507 of the family's 1533-position model. The record is from RNAcentral.